AUUUGGAUUAGUGUGUUAGACUUUCUUCUGUUGCGCUACUUAAGUAUUUUCUUCAUUACUGACUUAUAUGUUUUAAGAAUAAAUAGUAAUGCUUGGAUUGAAGAAUGGACUGGAAAAUAUGGAGGAGCUUUGAUAACUUCAGGCAUGUAUCCUAACCACAAGCAAAAAUUUAGGUAGUUACUCCAUGUGGAAAACAUUAAGGACUCUCACGUCAGAAUUUCGUGACUAAAUUUGGAUUUUGGAAUUUCAAAUAUUUCAUCAGAAAGAAUGGAAUUUCAAAGGAAGCGAGAGCGAAAUCUUUUCGUUCAACGGGAAAAGUUCAACAUGAGAUAUCAUUAUGCAGAAUGUUUUUAGAAAUCGGUUAGAAAAAUUCAAAUUUCUCGAAUUCAUAAGGAAGUUGAAACAGCUGCGUUACAAAGAAAGUGCGUGAAAUAUGUUUAUGCAGUAAAAUCUGAAGCUAAACAUUCAUUUAAAUAAAAUCAU
This is a long non-coding RNA of Stegodyphus dumicola, 483 nucleotides long. RefSeq lists it as uncharacterized. NCBI's taxonomy places the organism in Eukaryota, Metazoa, Arthropoda, Arachnida, Araneae, Eresidae. The record is from RefSeq and is a predicted model, not a curated record.